CCUACGGGAGGCAGCAGUGAGGAAUAUUGGUCAAUGGACGAGAGUCUGAACCAGCCAAGUAGCGUGAAGGAUGACUGCCCUAUGGGUUGUAAACUUCUUUUAUAUGGGAAUAAAGUGUUCCACGUGUGGGAUUUUGUAUGUACCAUAUGAAUAAGGAUCGGCUAAAUCCGUGCCAGCAGCCGCGGUAAUACGGAGGAUCCGAGCGUUAUCCGGAUUUAUUGGGGUUAAAGGGAGCGUAGGUGGAUUGUUAAGUCAGUUGUGAAAGUUUGCGGCUCAACCGUAAAAUUGCAGUUGAAACUGGCAGUCUUGAGUACAGUAGAGGUGGGCGGAAUUCGUGGUGUAGCGGUGAAAUGCUUAGAUAUCACGAAGAACUCCGAUUGCGAAGGCAGUUCACUGGACUGCAACUGACACUGAGGCUCGAAAGUGUGGGUAUCAAACAGGAUUAGAUACCCUAGUAGUC
RNAcentral lists this ribosomal RNA (460 nucleotides) under uncultured bacterium. RNAcentral's name for it is "partial 16S ribosomal RNA". It matches the Rfam family "Bacterial small subunit ribosomal RNA", at positions 338 to 795 of the family's 1533-position model. The record is from RNAcentral.